This 497-nucleotide ribosomal RNA is filed under the name uncultured bacterium. RNAcentral's name for it is "partial 16S ribosomal RNA". It matches the Rfam family "Bacterial small subunit ribosomal RNA", at positions 28 to 507 of the family's 1533-position model. The record is from RNAcentral.
GAUGAACGCUGGCGGCGUGCCUAAUACAUGCAAGUCGAGCGAACGGACGAGAAGCUUGCGUCUCUGAUGUUAGCGGCGGACGGGUGAGUAACACGUGGAUAACCUACCUAUAAGACUGGGAUAACUUCGGGAAACCGGAGCUAAUACCGGAUAAUAUUUUGAACCGCAUGGUUCAAAAGUGAAAGACGGUCUUUCUGUCACUUAUAGAUGGAUCCGCGCUGCAUUAGCUAGUUGGUAAGGUAACGGCUUACCAAGGCAGGGAUGCAUAGCCGACCUGAGAGGGUGAUCGGCCACACUGGAACUGAGACACGUUCCAGACUCUUACGGGAGGCCGCAGUAGGGACUCUUCCGCAAUGGGCGAAAGCCUGACGGAGCACCGCCGCGUGAGUGAUGAAGGUCUUCGGAUCGUAAAACUCUGUUAUUAGUGAAGAACAUAUGUGUAAGUAACUGUGCACAUCUUGACGGUACCUAAUCAGAAAGCCACGGCUAACUACGUG